This 498-nucleotide ribosomal RNA is filed under the name uncultured bacterium. RNAcentral's name for it is "partial 16S ribosomal RNA". It matches the Rfam family "Bacterial small subunit ribosomal RNA", at positions 30 to 523 of the family's 1533-position model. The record is from RNAcentral.
AUUGAACGCUGGCGGCAGGCCUAACACAUGCAAGUCGAGCGAAAGAGUGUGCUUGCACACUCGAAAGCGGCGGACGGGUGAGGAACGCGUGGGAAUCUGCCUGUAGAUGGGGGAUAGCCCGGAGAAAUCCGGAUUAAUACCGCAUAAUACCUGAGGGUUAAAGUGGAGGAUCGCAAGACUUCACGUCUACAGAUGAGCCCACGUCAGAUUAGCUAGUUGGUAGGGUAAAGGCCUACCAAGGCGACGAUCUGUAGCUGGCCUGAGAGGGUGGCCAGCAAAACUGGAACUGGGACACGGUCCAGACUCCUACGGGAGGCAGCAGUGGGGAAUAUUGGACAAUGGGCGCAAGCCUGAUCCAGCCAUGCCGCGUGUGUGAAGAAGGCCUUCGGGUUGUAAAGCACUUUAAGUUGGGAGGAAGGUUCGAUGGCUAAUAUCCAUCGGAAUUGACGUUACCAACAGAAUGAGCACCGGCUAAUUCCGUGCCAGCCGCCGCCGUAA